Long non-coding RNA from Tripterygium wilfordii, 496 nucleotides. RefSeq lists it as uncharacterized. The record is from RefSeq and is a predicted model, not a curated record. NCBI's taxonomy places the organism in Eukaryota, Viridiplantae, Streptophyta, Magnoliopsida, Celastrales, Celastraceae. The transcript has 2 exons.
GAAUUGAAGAAGAUAGCAGCAAGUGGGAUUGCCAAAAUAGGAUGAGCCCCAUAAAUAAAUAGCGGUGCGAGAUAACCCUAAAACCCAAAAAAGAAACACCGCCUCUCUUUCAAACCUAUCCACAAAUCAGUCUCUCUAUCACGCUGUUCAUUCCUCUUCCUAAAAUGGAAUCUGAAUCUCCCUUCUAUCUCUAUAUGAAUAUGAAUUUGAGCCAUUUUAGGAAGGGAAUGAACACUGUGUUAUCUGAGGGAUAUGAAUAUCCAAUCUAGUUCGAGUAAAUCCUCCGACGUUGAACGGUGCGGUGCAGGUCUUCCACGAAUCUUCGGAGGAAAAGCUUGAGAAGGUUUCUCCGGCAGGAAAAGCUGUGGACUGAAGACCCUGCAACAAUGGUGCUUUUCUUUUGUUGAGAAAGACUGCAACAAUGGUGUUGAAAAAUUUUCAGUCAUACUCAUAAUGAAGUUGCGGGACCAUUUUCAGUCGCACCCAUAUUCUGUCA